GAUGAACGCUGGCGGCGUGCCUAAUACAUGCAAGUCGAGCGAACAGAUAAGGAGCUUGCUCCUUUGACGUUAGCGGCGGACGGGUGAGUAACACGUGGGUAACCUACCUAUAAGACUGGGAUAACUUCGGGAAACCGGAGCUAAUACCGGAUAACAUUUGGAACCGCAUGGUUCUAAAGUGAAAGAUGGUUUUGCUAUCACUUAUAGAUGGACCCGCGCCGUAUUAGCUAGUUGGUAAGGUAACGGCUUACCAAGGCGACGAUACGUAGCCGACCUGAGAGGGUGAUCGGCCACACUGGAACUGAGACACGGUCCAGACUCCUACGGGAGGCAGCAGUAGGGAAUCUUCCGCAAUGGGCGAAAGCCUGACGGAGCAACGCCGCGUGAGUGAUGAAGGGUUUCGGCUCGUAAAACUCUGUUAUUAGGGAAGAACAAAUGUGUAAGUAACUGUGCACGUCUUGACGGUGCCUAAUCAGAAAGCCACGGCUAACUACGUG
This 497-nucleotide ribosomal RNA is filed under the name uncultured bacterium. RNAcentral's name for it is "partial 16S ribosomal RNA". It matches the Rfam family "Bacterial small subunit ribosomal RNA", at positions 28 to 507 of the family's 1533-position model. The record is from RNAcentral.